AUGCCGGCACUGCAGAUGGUGGCUUUACCCACUACUCCACAGCGCCAGCCCACAGUAUGCUACUUCUUAAAAGAAACAUGGAAGUGGCCAACAUUGUGGUGUAGCAGGUUAAGCUGCCACCUGCGAUGCCAGCAUCCCAUAUAUGCAGCAGUUCAAGUCCUGCCUGCUCCACUUCUGAUCAGCUCCCUCCUAAUGCAUGGAAGAAAGCAGCAAAAACGGCUGCAGCGUUUGGGCCCUGCCAUCCACGUGGGAGACCCGGAUGAAGCUCCUGGUUCCGGGCUUGAACCUGAUCCAGCCCUGGUCACUGCAGCCAUUGAGGGAAUGGACGAGUGUAUAGAAGCUCUCUCUCUCUCUCUCUCUCUCUGUCUCUGUCUCUCUGUCUCUCUGUCUCUCCCUCCCUCCCUGUGUGUAACUCUGCCUUUCAAAGAAAUAAAAUACAUCCAAACAAUUAAUAAGGAAAGAAAAGGAACAGAGAACCCACAAAUUGCAACAGAAGACAGAAAGCGACACAAGGCUGGAGCCCGCGGGGAGACGGCGGGAUUCCCGGGGCGAGCGAGCGCUGACCUGGGGAGGGGCCGCCUUGUCCCAGCUCCACUGAGAGCUCAGCCGGCACAAGAGCCAACAGAACAACUCGGAUUUGCCAGGGUGCCACACCUGAUCCGAGCUAACAGGGCCAUCCUGAACUUGCCUCGGGAAAGCUUUUUCAAGGGGCAGCUUCACAAGACAGUCUGGCUCUGCUGUGGGCGGGGCGUCUGUGGCUGGGCGAGGGGGGAAGAAUCCCGGUUACACAGCGCUCCUAGGACCUCGCGCCCAGUCUCUGCUGGGAGCACAGUUAAUUCUACUGCGUCCCAUGUUGCCUGUGGGGAGUGGACAGCGGCCGACUCCUGUCUUCCUGCUGUUCCUGCUCCCUCCCGGAGCCCUUGGCAGCAGACUUUCUCUACAUGGUACACAGCGCCCGAAGUUCUCUCUGGCCGCCCUCCACUCCCUCCGCUGGGUCAAGCCGACUUUCUCCCUACCCUGUGCAAAUCCUCAUUUCCUUCCUGCCCUGUCUUUCCCCUUCUCUCAAGAGCAAGGCGAUAA
This 1080-nucleotide long non-coding RNA is filed under the name Oryctolagus cuniculus (rabbit). RNAcentral's name for it is "lncRNA (ENSOCUG00000038952.1)". Lineage: Eukaryota; Metazoa; Chordata; Mammalia; Lagomorpha; Leporidae. The record is from RNAcentral.